AGGGAAAAGUAACCGUCAGUCCAGGAGAUUGUGUGGAUUGUCCAGGGGUCAAUGCCAGGGUCAGAAUCCAGCUGCCCAGAGUCCCAGCUUGGCCACCCACAGCUGUUGGCUCUUUGCAUAUAUCCGGAUGCCACGCAGGCCGUCCCUGUGACUCUUGAUGUGGGACAGUCGGCCAGCCUAUCCCCAAGAAAGCAUGGGGUCUUCAGUGGCCCUUUGCUUCCUGCGCCUGCCCCUCUCCGUUUUCCAAGACACAGGGUUCUUCUUCAGCUGGGAGGACCUGCUCCAGAGAGGAGAAACGCGGCGCGGGUGGUGGGGAAGGAAGGGUUGCAGUUGUCAUGGUGGGGAGCUACCGCUGGCAUCUGGGGGCAGAGGCCAGUGGCACUAAGAAUACAACCCUCCCCGAAGAGAACCUCGCCAGGCAUUUGCAAUGGACACUGUAUUAAAAGUGCUCCGGGUACAAAGUCAGGGGAGCCGUAUAGCGAGUCCUCCCUGGAACUGUCUUUCUGUAAAACGGAAGCCCUCCCUGCUCCCCAGUGUCUCUCUCAAAAAACGAGGACUAGCAAGGACGGGGGACCGGGAGAGGGGGUGGCGGGGGGGCUGUACAGUAGCCCUUGGUACUGUGGAACAGAGCACGAUACGAACGCAGAGGAGCUCAAAUCCAAGUCCCUGAGGAAUUGUGGGGCCAGCACGACUGACCAGACAAGAGUCAGGGAGAAGUGUGGGUGUUUCCUUUAUUUCCUCCAAAUCUCAGAGCCACAGUCUGUAGGAGCAGAGGGUUAACGGUACACCCAUCACGACCAGGGCUUGCCUGGAACAGAUUAGCUCAGGACAGUGCCUGGUCAGCCCCGGGGAUCGGGGACCAGAGACCGCGGUCCGUCUCACAGAAGCGCAGAGCCCCUGGCUAUAGAGAACGCGGUGCCGGCGCCCAGCCCCAGGACAGGCGGGGUUUUCUGCGACCGAUCGGGUUCCAGGAACGAACUUGAGUGCUGACCGUGUGUGGAACCCCGGCCCAACCCUCGCGGUCCCCGAGGAUCCUGUCGGCGCUCUGAGCGCGGAUUUCGGUCCCAGUGCACGCUGUGUAAAUACCGAACCGGCCCUCGCAGGCUUCUAGCGGUCGCCUCGGGCCUCGCCUAGGGAGCUCCAAAGGCUCGCACCGGAACGUGGGCCUUAAACUCGGGCGAGGUGCGCGCGCAGUCAGCACAGGCCAAGAACCCGCCGACCCUGCCAAGGCCCCGCCCCGCCC
This is a long non-coding RNA of Bos taurus (domestic cattle), 1243 nucleotides long. NCBI's taxonomy places the organism in Eukaryota, Metazoa, Chordata, Mammalia, Artiodactyla, Bovidae. The record is from Ensembl.